UACGUAGGGUGCGAGCGUUGUCCGUAAUUAUUGGGCGUAAAGAGCUCGUAGGCGGCCUGUCGCGUCGGAUGUGAAAGCCCGGGGCUUAACCCCGGGUCUGCAUUCGAUACGGGCAGGCUAGAGUUCGGUAGGGGAGAUCGGAAUUCCUGGUGUAGCGGUGAAAUGCGCAGAUAUCAGGAGGAACACCGGUGGCGAAGGCGGAUCUCUGGGCCGAUACUGACGCUGGGGAGCGAACGGG
Molecule: ribosomal RNA, 238 nt
Filed under: uncultured bacterium
Lineage: Bacteria
Description: partial 16S ribosomal RNA
Rfam family: Bacterial small subunit ribosomal RNA
Source: RNAcentral